RNAcentral lists this ribosomal RNA (547 nucleotides) under uncultured bacterium. Its description in RNAcentral is "bacterial SSU rRNA". It matches the Rfam family "Bacterial small subunit ribosomal RNA", at positions 355 to 896 of the family's 1533-position model. The record is from RNAcentral.
UGGGGAAUAUUGCGCAAUGGGGGGAACCCUGACGCAGCCAUGCCGCGUGAAUGAAGAAGGCCUUCGGGUUGUAAAGUUCUUUCGGUAUUGAGGAAGGUUGAUGUGUUAAUAGCACAUCAAAUUGACGUUAAAUACAGAAGAAGCACCGGCUAACUCCGUGCCAGCAGCCGCGGUAAUACGGAGGGUGCGAGCGUUAAUCGGAAUAACUGGGCGUAAAGGGCACGCAGGCGGUUAUUUAAGUGAGGUGUGAAAGCCCUGGGCUUAACCUAGGAAUUGCAUUUCAGACUGGGUAACUAGAGUACUUUAGGGAGGGGUAGAAUUCCACGUGUAGCGGUGAAAUGCGUAGAGAUGUGGAGGAAUACCGAAGGCGAAGGCAGCCCCUUGGGAAUGUACUGACGCUCAUGUGCGAAAGCGUGGGGAGCAAACAGGAUUAGAUACCCUGGUAGUCCACGCUGUAAACGCUGUCGAUUUGGGGGUUGGGGUUUAACCCUGGCGCCCGUAGCUAACGUGAUAAAUCGACCGCCUGGGGAGUACGGCCGCAAGGUUA